UGCGUAGGCGGCUUUGCAAGUCAGAUGUGAAAUCUAUGGGCUCAACCCAUAAACUGCAUUUGAAACUGUAGAGCUUGAGUGAAGUAGAGGCAGGCGGAAUUCCCCGUGUAGCGGUGAAAUGCGUAGAGAUGGGGAGGAACACCAGUGGCGAAGGCGGCCUGCUGGGCUUUAACUGACGCUGAGAUGCGAAACGCCGAGGGUAGCGGAACG
This 210-nucleotide ribosomal RNA is filed under the name uncultured bacterium. RNAcentral describes it as "partial 16S ribosomal RNA". It matches the Rfam family "Bacterial small subunit ribosomal RNA", at positions 568 to 775 of the family's 1533-position model. The record is from RNAcentral.